GUGUCAGCCGCCGCGGUAAUACGAAGGGACCUAGCGUAGUUCGGAAUUACUGGGCUUAAAGAGUUCGUAGGUGGUUAAGAAAGUUGGUGGUGAAAUCCCAGAGCUUAACUCUGGAACUGCCAUCAAAACUUUUNAGCUAGAGUAUGAUAGAGGAAAGCGGAAUUUCUAGUGUAGAGGUGAAAUUCGUAGAUAUUAGAAAGAAUACCAAUUGCGAAGGCAGCUUUCUGGAUCAUUACUGACACUGAGGAACGAAAGCAUGGGUAGCGAAGAGGAUUAGAUACCCUCGUAGUCCAUGCCGUAAACGAUGUGUGUUAGAUGUUGGAAAUUUAUUUUCAGUAUCGCAGCGAAAGCAAUAAACACACCGCCUGGGGAGUACGACCGCAAGGUUAAAACUCAAAUGAAUUGACGGGGACCCGCACAAGUAGUGGAGCAUGUGGUUUAAUUCGAAGAUACGCGCAGAACCUUACCAACACUUGACAUGCUCGUUUCGACUCUAAGAGAUUAGAGUUUUCGGUUCGGCCGGACGAAACACAGGCGCUGCAUGGCUGUCGUCAGCUCGUGUCGUGAGAUGUUGGGUUAAGUCCCGCAACGAGCGCAACCCUUACUUUUAGUUGCCAUCAUUUAGUUGGGCACUCUGAAAGAACUGCCAGUGAUAAGCUGGAGGAAGGUGGGGAUGACGUCAAGUCCUCACGGCCCUUAUGUGUUGGGCUACACACGUGCUACAAUGGCAUUUACAAUGGGAAGCAAGAUGGCGACGUCAAGCAAAUCCUGAAAAAAUGCCUCAGUUCGGAUUGUACUCUGCAACUCGAGUACAUGAAGCUGGAAUUACUAGUAAUCGUGGAUCAGCGUGCCACGGUGAAUACGUUCCCGGGUCUUGCACCACCGCCCGUC
RNAcentral lists this ribosomal RNA (891 nucleotides) under uncultured bacterium. Its description in RNAcentral is "bacterial SSU rRNA". It matches the Rfam family "Bacterial small subunit ribosomal RNA", at positions 505 to 1398 of the family's 1533-position model. The record is from RNAcentral.